CCUCUCGCGAGAACAGCCGGAGUUGGGGGCUCUCGCACCUUAAAUGCUCACAUUUGCUCGUUGCUCAGCCAGCCAUCUUCUUUCUCUAACGGCUGGUUUUGAAAGUUUGGAGGAGAAUGAAACCUAACAGAACUUUCUGAAGAAAUAGUCCACCGGCUCCAUGGACUAGGAGCUAUGGAUAAAAGUAGCCCAGGGAUGACAUCCAACCCUUGAAUGAAAAGUCAAGAAUCCAUCAUUUCCACGUGCCUGAGCAUCCAGAUGGUUGGCAUCAGUGGAUAUAUACUGUGUAUCCAUUCACUGAACAAAUAUUUAUUGAGUGUCUGCUCUAUGCCUGGCUCUCUGCUAGGCCCUGAUGACUCCAAACUGAGUAAGAUUGAUUAUUCAGUCAACCUCACAAAAUCAAAUCAUCUUGAAGCAGAAAGGAAACAGCAACUGUACAUAGAAACAUUUCCAUUCCUGGCACCACUGUUUUAGACAUCAUCCUAGGAUACUCCUUUUUGUUUCGUGGCAAGCAUGGAAAGUGAAGAAACUGAGACUCAGAGACAUCAAGUAACUUGUUCAAGGCACACAGCUAUCGAGGGUCGGAGCUGAAACUCCAGGCCACUCCUUUUCCCAGUCCUGUGAUGGGAAGCAGAGAGCUAACUGGGCUGAUUCUGCCGCCCUCUGGUUCCAUCCCUUCAGAAAUGACAAAUUAUCCUGAGCCUCAGUGUGUUCAUCUAGCUAGUGGGACCACAGUGCCUCUCUCAGGAGCCAGUCAUGGGAAUCAAAGGAAAUAAUCGAUGUGGGGGCUCCUGGCUUUGGAGCCAACGUGCCUUAGGUGCUCAGCAAAUGUUUUUAUGGAUGGGAGCUUCAAACCCUCUUCCACCCUUGCCUCCUGCUUUCCACCAUCCUCCAACAUCCUCCCAGAGUGAGCAGCUCAUGACAUCCUAGAGCACGCUGUUUGAGUUAGAAGGUGUCCUGGCUUCUCUGAGAGCCCAGCCAGUGUGGAUAGCACAGGAGGAGAAGGCAUGGCCACCGCUGGGAGGUGAGAGUUUAUCUCUGCAGACACAGCCUGUCCAUCUCUGAAAUAUUAAAAAGACUUCCAGGAAGCACUGGAGAACUUUCCAAAAUGCAUCAUUCUUCAAGAACAGAAUUAUAAGGUAAUAGAAGAGCCACAUGCCCAACCUCAGCUCCAAUUCUCUCCAUCCUAAGAAGGAGCAAGCUGACCCCCAGUAUUCUUCCUGGGUCUAGAAACUCAAAGAACGAACUCCCCAUUUCCUCCAUCUGCCCCUGUCUCCUACCCAGUCCACUUUUGAGCCAUUGGCCCAUGUAACUCCCCAGCCCGCCAGGGAUCUACUGCCCUCAUGAGAGACUGAUCUUGCUCUAAUGUUUUAAACCUGAACCACUGAUUUCUGAAAAAUAAAUAUGAUCAAAAGGAA
Heterocephalus glaber (naked mole-rat) is the source of this 1418-nucleotide long non-coding RNA. RefSeq lists it as uncharacterized. The record is from RefSeq and is a predicted model, not a curated record. NCBI's taxonomy places the organism in Eukaryota, Metazoa, Chordata, Mammalia, Rodentia, Bathyergidae.